Non-coding RNA from Labrus bergylta (ballan wrasse), 1271 nucleotides. The record is from RefSeq and is a predicted model, not a curated record. NCBI's taxonomy places the organism in Eukaryota, Metazoa, Chordata, Actinopteri, Labriformes, Labridae.
GACAGUCCAGUAACGGCUCAUCUGGCAGCACAUGUAGACUUACAGAGUUAAAGCCUUUACAUUACAACCCCAGGUGAUUCAGCAUACCACGAGCAAUGUUACAAAGGAGAUGAACACAGAAGUUAAGAGAUAAAAGUUAUUUUGGGAGAAUUAUUGUAACUUUGACUCAAAUGCUAACUGGGCUAGGAGGACAUUACAGAAAUGUUCAUACAACAGCAUGUUGUUAACAGAUAUUUGUCUCUAAGUGCAACAAAAUAAAUAUCCCCCACAUUAAGCUUUUAUGUUCAUUUUAGUCUGUGCAUUUUUUUGUUGGACAAUAUGCAUUGUAUUUACAGUUUGUACACGUGCUUUAAAUGUCAAAAGACUUGGAAGUAAGGAAACAACAUAAAACCCUUCAUUAUAAUACUUUUUUUUUCUAUAUUGAAAUUUAACAAUCCACACGAUAGAGAUGUUUCUCUUAAUUAGCCGUGUGAGGUUCAAUGUACAUUAAAUACACCAUUUCAGUGCUUGCAAAGAUAAAUAAUCAUUUGUGAUACAAUUCUUAGAUUAAAACUACAACUUUUUUCAGAAUAAUUUAACUACAAAUUAGCUUUUUGUCCCUUUCUGUUAGAAUUUGUAAACGUGACUUUCAUCUGUUAUACCAGCAACAGUUGAACCAUUCUUUUUUAAAAGACAUUAAACAUGACAGAACAUGACUUUCCCUCCUCUUGUUCAAGGCUCUGUUUUAAUCUUGGCUUUAGCUCUGGAGCGCGUGUUGACCUCUGAGGACAGAGGCUGAGGGGGUGAGGACUCUGGAGAAGAAGGCCUGGAGAGCGGCACAAACAGAGGAGGCCCCUGGCACAGCAAGAGUUCUUCACCAAGCCAAAGUUCAGCCACCUCGUUGAGCCUGCCGACUGCCUCUCCGCUCCCUGUGAUGUCAUCAGCCUGGACAUGUACACGCUGCAAAUCAAAGACCUGGAGGAAAUAAAGGGUCAGUUUCAAUUUUGUGUGGAGAAGCCCGGUGUUUUUCAUGGAUUUACCACUUGGUUUACGGCUCAUUUUGAGAGUCUGGAGACGGGAAGUCCACCAGUGGAGCUAAACACGGGGCCUCACUUCAAGCCUACACACUGGAAGCAGACUCUCUUCAUGCUUGACAACCCAGUAAGCGUGUGUGCAGGGACUCCAUCAGUGGAAGCAUUGUCCUGCACAGGAAUCCCGUGUGGAGACGCCAUAUGACCAUCACCCUGCAUUGGAACGUUAACGGCAGCACAGAGGAAACAGAAAACUGCAAG